Molecule: ribosomal RNA, 241 nt
Filed under: uncultured bacterium
Lineage: Bacteria
Description: partial 16S ribosomal RNA
Rfam family: Bacterial small subunit ribosomal RNA
Source: RNAcentral
UUUGACCUACGGGGCGCAGCAGUAGGGAAUCUUCCACAAUGGGCGCAAGCCUGAUGGAGCAACACCGCGUGAGUGAAGAAAGGUUUCGGCUCGUAAAGCUCUGUUGUUGGAGAAGAACGUGCGUGAGAGCAACUGUUCACGCAGUGACGGUAUCCAACCAGAAAGUCACGGCUAACUACGUGCCAGCAGCCGCGGUAAUACGUAGGUGGCAAGCGUUAUCCGGAUUUAUUGGGCGUAAAGC